AGCAGCCGCGGUAAUUCCAGCUCCAAUAGCGUAUAUUAAAGUUGUUGCAGUUAAAAAGCUCGUAGUUGAAUUUCGGGAUCAAUAUGUCUGUCGUGCCUUCGGUACGUACGGGUAUAAUUGGUUUCUACCUUCUGAUGAACCUUGAUGCCAUUAAUUUGGUGUCUUGGGGACUCAGGACUGUUACCUUGAAAAAAUUAGAGUGUUUAAAGCAGGCAUACGCUUGAAUACAUUAGCAUGGAAUAAUGAAAUAGGACGUUCGAUUCUAUUUUGUUGGUUUCUAGGAUCGACGUAAUGAUUAAUAGGGAUAGUUGGGGGCAUUAGUAUUCAAUUGUCAGAGGUGAAAUUCUUGGAUUUAUUGAAGACUAACUACUGCGAAAGCAUUUGCCAAGGAUGUUUUCAUUAAUCAAGAACGAAAGUUAGGGGAUCGAAGACGAUCAGAUACCGUCGUAG
RNAcentral lists this ribosomal RNA (450 nucleotides) under uncultured Glomeromycotina. Its description in RNAcentral is "SSU rRNA". It matches the Rfam family "Eukaryotic small subunit ribosomal RNA", at positions 569 to 1023 of the family's 1831-position model. The record is from RNAcentral. Lineage: Eukaryota; Fungi; Glomeromycota.